Molecule: transfer RNA, 66 nt
Filed under: Rectidens sumatrensis
Lineage: Eukaryota; Metazoa; Mollusca; Bivalvia; Unionida; Unionidae
Description: tRNA-His
Source: RNAcentral
AACAAGAUAGUUUAGUAUCAAAACAGUAGGUUGUGGUCCUUCACAGGGGUGAAAGCCUUCUUGUUA